ACGGAGGAUCCAAGCGUUAUCCGGAUUUAUUGGGUUUAAAGGGUGCGUAGGCGGCCUAUUAAGUCAGGGGUGAAAGACGGUAGCUUAACUAUCGCAGUGCCUUUGAUACUGAUGGGCUUGAAUGUACUUGAGGUAGGCGGAAUGUGACAAGUAGCGGUGAAAUGCAUAGAUAUGUCACAGAACACCAAUUGCGAAGGCAGCUUACUAAAGUAUGAUUGACGCUGAGGCACGAAAGCGUGGGGAUCAAACAGGAUUAGAUACCCUGGUAGUCCACGCCCUAAACGAUGAACACUCGAUGUUGGCGAUAUACGGUCAGCGUCUAAGCGAAAGCGUUAAGUGUUCCACCUGGGGAGUACGCCCGCAAGGGUG
Molecule: ribosomal RNA, 369 nt
Filed under: uncultured bacterium
Lineage: Bacteria
Description: bacterial SSU rRNA
Rfam family: Bacterial small subunit ribosomal RNA
Source: RNAcentral